RNAcentral lists this ribosomal RNA (375 nucleotides) under uncultured soil bacterium. RNAcentral's name for it is "bacterial SSU rRNA". It matches the Rfam family "Bacterial small subunit ribosomal RNA", at positions 26 to 401 of the family's 1533-position model. The record is from RNAcentral.
AGGACAAACGCUGGCGGCGUGCUUAAUACAUGCAAGUCGAACGGUCUACUUUCGGGUAGAUAGUGGCGGACGGGUGAGUAACACGUAGUUGACCUGCCCUAUAGUGGGGAAUAACUCCUCGAAAGAGGAGCUAAUACCGCAUAAGCUCUCUGUUGUUGGACAGAGAGGAAACCUUACUCUUCGGAGCCGGGGCUAUUGGAGGGGACUGCGGCGGAUUAGCUAGAUGGUGGGGUAAAAGCCUACCAUGGCGACGAUCCGUAGCUGGUCUGAGAGGACGAUCAGCCACACUGGGACUGAGACACGGCCCAGACUCCUACGGGAGGCAGCAGUAAGGAAUAUUCACAAUGGACGAAAGCCUGAUGGAGCGACGCCGCG